This 287-nucleotide unclassified non-coding RNA is filed under the name Frankliniella citripes. RNAcentral's name for it is "partial contains large subunit ribosomal RNA (rrnL); may also contain tRNA-Leu (trnL)". The stretch from base 1 to 168 matches the Rfam family "Bacterial large subunit ribosomal RNA", at positions 2474 to 2642 of the family's 2925-position model. The record is from RNAcentral. Lineage: Eukaryota; Metazoa; Arthropoda; Insecta; Thysanoptera; Thripidae.
AUAACAGAGUAAAUAUUUUUUAGAGAUCAAAUCAAAAAAAUGUGUUACUACCUCGAUGUUGAAUUAAGGUUAAAUUUAAUAGAAAAAAAUUAAACUUUAGGUCUGUUCGACCAUUAAAACCUUACAUGAUUUGAGUUAAGACCGGCGUAAGCCAGGUUGGUUUCUAUCUUUAAUUUAAAAAUUUUUAUAGUACGAAAGGACCUAAAAAUUUAAUUUAAUUAAUUAAUUAGCUUAUAUUAAAGCAAGUAUUUUGAAAAUACUAGAAAGAUAAAAAAUUUAUUAAUUUU